UACGGAGGGUGCGAGCGUUAAUCGGAGUUACUGGGUGUAAAGGGCGCGUAGGCGGUGUUAUGUGUGUGAUGUGAAAGCCCCGGGCUUAACCUGGGAAGUGCAUCGCAAACUAUAGUACUAGAGUAUAUGAGAGGGUGGCGGAAUUUCCGGUGUAGCGGUGAAAUGCGUAGAGAUCGGAAGGAACGUCAAUGGCGAUGGCAGCCACCUGGCUUAAUACUGACGCUGAGGCGCGAAAGCGUGGGGAGCGAACAGG
RNAcentral lists this ribosomal RNA (253 nucleotides) under uncultured bacterium. RNAcentral describes it as "partial 16S ribosomal RNA". It matches the Rfam family "Bacterial small subunit ribosomal RNA", at positions 524 to 776 of the family's 1533-position model. The record is from RNAcentral.